Molecule: ribosomal RNA, 269 nt
Filed under: Campylobacter jejuni
Lineage: Bacteria; Pseudomonadati; Campylobacterota; Epsilonproteobacteria; Campylobacterales; Campylobacteraceae
Description: partial 23S ribosomal RNA
Rfam family: Bacterial large subunit ribosomal RNA
Source: RNAcentral
GCCGUGGGCGUAAGAAGAUUGAAGAGAUUUGACCCUAGUACGAGAGGACCGGGUUGAACAAACCACUGGUGUAGCUGUUGUUCUGCCAAGAGCAUCGCAGCGUAGCUAAGUUUGGAAAGGAUAAACGCUGAAAGCAUCUAAGCGUGAAGCCAACUCUAAGAUGAAUCUUCUCUAAGCUCUCUAGAAGACUACUAGUUUGAUAGGCUGGGUGUGUAAUGGAUGAAAGUCCUUUAGCUGACCAGUACUAAUAGAGCGUUUGGCUUAUCUUU